RNAcentral lists this ribosomal RNA (1524 nucleotides) under Enterococcus faecium. RNAcentral describes it as "bacterial LSU rRNA". It matches the Rfam family "Bacterial large subunit ribosomal RNA", at positions 1 to 1519 of the family's 2925-position model. Lineage: Bacteria; Bacillati; Bacillota; Bacilli; Lactobacillales; Enterococcaceae. The record is from RNAcentral.
GUUGAUAAGGUUAAGUGAAUAAGGGCGCACGGUGGAUGCCUUGGCACUAGGAGCCGAUGAAGGACGGGACUAACACCGAUAUGCUUUGGGGAGCUGUACGUAAGCUAUGAUCCAGAGAUUUCCGAAUGGGGGAACCCAACAUCUUUAAUAGGAUGUUACGAUUGUGUGAAUACAUAGCACAUUCGAGGUAGACGCAGAGAACUGAAACAUCUAAGUACCUGCAGGAAGAGAAAGAAAAUUCGAUUCCCUGAGUAGCGGCGAGCGAAACGGGAAAAGCCCAAACCAGCAAGCUUGCUUGUUGGGGUUGUAGGACUCCAAUAUGGUAGUUCUUUCAGAUAGUCGAAUGACUUGGAAAAGUCAGUCAAAGAGGGUAAAAACCCCGUAGACGAAAUGUGGAAGACACCUAGGAGGAUCCUGAGUACGGCGGAACACGAGAAAUUCCGUCGGAAUCCGGGAGGACCAUCUCCCAAGGCUAAAUACUCCCUAGUGACCGAUAGUGAACCAGUACCGUGAGGGAAAGGUGAAAAGCACCCCGGAAGGGGAGUGAAAUAGAACCUGAAACCGUGUGCCUACAACAAGUCAAAGCCCGUUAAUGGGUGAUGGCGUGCCUUUUGUAGAAUGAACCGGCGAGUUACGAUUGCAUGCGAGGUUAAGUUGAAGAGACGGAGCCGCAGCGAAAGCGAGUCUGAAUAGGGCGUUUGAGUAUGUAGUCGUAGACCCGAAACCAUGUGAUCUACCCAUGUCCAGGUUGAAGGUGCGGUAAAACGCACUGGAGGACCGAACCCACGUACGUUGAAAAGUGCGGGGAUGAGGUGUGGGUAGCGGAGAAAUUCCAAACGAACUUGGAGAUAGCUGGUUCUCUCCGAAAUAGCUUUAGGGCUAGCCUCGGAAUUGAGAAUGAUGGAGGUAGAGCACUGUUUGGACUAGGGGCCCAUCUCGGGUUACCGAAUUCAGAUAAACUCCGAAUGCCAUUCAUUCAUAUCCGGGAGUCAGACUGUGAGUGAUAAGAUCCAUAGUCGAAAGGGAAACAGCCCAGACCACCAGCUAAGGUCCCAAAAUAUAUGUUAAGUGGAAAAGGAUGUGGGGUUGCACAGACAACUAGGAUGUUGGCUUAGAAGCAGCCACCAUUUAAAGAGUGCGUAAUAGCUCACUAGUCGAGUGACCCUGCGCCGAAAAUGUACCGGGGCUAAACAUAUUACCGAAGCUGUGGAGUACACCUUUAGGUGUAUUGGUAGGAGAGCGUUCUAAGGGCGUUGAAGGCAGAUCGUGAGGACUGCUGGAGCGCUUAGAAGUGAGAAUGCCGGUAUGAGUAGCGAAAGACAGGUGAGAAUCCUGUCCACCGAAUGACUAAGGUUUCCUGGGGAAGGCUCGUCCGCCCAGGGUUAGUCGGGACCUAAGCCGAGGCCGACAGGCGUAGGCGAUGGAUAACAGGUUGAUAUUCCUGUACCCGUUGUUUUUGUUUGAGCAAUGGAGGGACGCAGGAGGCUAAGGAAUGCAGACGAUCGGAAAUGUCUGUCCAAGCAG